Molecule: long non-coding RNA, 433 nt
Organism: Monopterus albus (swamp eel)
Lineage: Eukaryota; Metazoa; Chordata; Actinopteri; Synbranchiformes; Synbranchidae
Exons: 4
Source: RefSeq, a predicted model, not a curated record
CAGGCAUCAGACUGUGCAGCAGAUAAACCAGAGCAGCAGAGAGUUGACCAGCAGCAGGUCUGGGUGGGACAAGCUCUACAGAUCCCUCUGGUAAGAUUACACGCUCAAGCAGCUGCUGACUGUGUCCUGUCGCAAUGAAUUGCAUCACUCGAUCUGUCAGGGUAAAGGCGCAGCGCUGAGUUUACUGGAUCUGUAAAUAACAUACACUUGGACAAGUUUCCCCUCAGCCCGGCAUCCAGCAGAGGCACCCUUGUGCGUCACAGUGAGCCAGGAAAACACAGCAGUGAGUUACACUGAAACUGAGGUGCAUCACUCUUCAAACUGUCAUCGGUGCUAAGGAUACAUGGAGAAUGUGCUGGAAGCUCGUACAAAGACUUAACAAGAAGUUCAUUGUCUUGUCCACUUGUAUGCUUUUUAGCAUGUUCCCGCUCUC